AGGGUGUAAACGCUGCAGACUUGGUGUUGGGGGCCCUUUGGGGGCAUUCAGUGCCGGAGAGAAGUUGUUAAGUCUGCUACUUGGGGAGUACGUCCGCAAGGAUGAAACUUAAAGGAAUCGGCGGGGGAGCACCGCAACGGGAGGAGCGUGCGGUUUAAUUGGAUUCAACACCGUAAAACUCACCAGGGAAGACUGUUACAUGAAGGCCGAGAUGAAGACUCUGCUAGAUUUUCAGAGAGGAGGUGCAUGGCGUCAGUGACU
This 261-nucleotide ribosomal RNA is filed under the name uncultured archaeon. RNAcentral describes it as "partial 16S ribosomal RNA". It matches the Rfam family "Archaeal small subunit ribosomal RNA", at positions 748 to 1008 of the family's 1478-position model. The record is from RNAcentral.